CUGCUGCCUCCCGUAGGAGUCUGGUCCGUGUCUCAGUACCAGUGUGGGGGACCUUCCUCUCAGAACCCCUAGACAUCGUCGCCUUGGUGGGCCGUUACCCCCGCCAACUAGCUAAUGUCACGCAUGCCCAUCCGUCUCCGGAGUCGCCUCCUUUGGCCGAAAGAAGAUGCCUCCCCUCGGCCACAUGCGGUAUUAGGCCGGAUUUCUCCGGGUUAUCCCGCUGAAACGGGCAGGUUGCAUACGCGUUACUCACCCGUGCGCCGGUCCG
This 268-nucleotide ribosomal RNA is filed under the name uncultured bacterium. RNAcentral describes it as "partial 16S ribosomal RNA". The record is from RNAcentral.